CCUACGGUGAGCUGCAGUAGGGAAUAUUGCUCAAUGGGGGAAACCCUGAAGCAGCAACGCCGCGUGGAGGAUGAAGGUUUUAGGAUUGUAACCUCCUUUUGUGAGAGAAGAUAAUGACGGUCUCUCACGAAUAAUCACCGGCUAACUCAGUGCCAGCAGCCGCGGUAAUACGGAGGGUGCAAGCGUUACUCGGAAUCACUGGGCGUAAAGAGUGCGCAGGCGGGGUUGUAAGUCAGAUGUGAAAUCCUAUAGUGUAACUACAAAACUGCAUUUGAAACUAUGAGUCUAGAGUGUGGGAGAGGUAGGUGGAAUGCUUGGUGUAGGGGUAAAAUCCGGAGAUAUCAAGAGGAAUACUCAUUGCGAAGGCGACCUACUGGAACAUUACUGACGCUCAUGCACGAAAGCGUGGGGAGCAAACAGGAUUAGAUACCCGGGUAGUC
RNAcentral lists this ribosomal RNA (440 nucleotides) under uncultured bacterium. RNAcentral describes it as "partial 16S ribosomal RNA". It matches the Rfam family "Bacterial small subunit ribosomal RNA", at positions 338 to 795 of the family's 1533-position model. The record is from RNAcentral.